Molecule: long non-coding RNA, 262 nt
Filed under: Salvia miltiorrhiza (redroot sage)
Lineage: Eukaryota; Viridiplantae; Streptophyta; Magnoliopsida; Lamiales; Lamiaceae
Description: long non-coding RNA (SMIL_LNC011981)
Source: RNAcentral
CAUUUUUGAAUUAUUAAUGAUGAAUGAAUGUCUUUCAUCGUCGGCAACUAAAACGACCGUAUCAUUUUCUAGUUUUUCCCCUUUAUACGAAUGCAACAUUAUGUUGUUUCACAAAGUAUUACAUCUCAUACUCCCUCCGUCCAUGAAAUAAAUUAUCAGUUGGGGUUCGGCACGGAGACUAAUAAAACUGAAAAAGGUGGUGUAAAAGAUUAAAAUGGUAGUGUUUAUGUAUUGUGAUUACUUUUACUAAUCUUUCACUAGC